CCUCCUAUUUCAUUUGUAUGUGACCAGGAGACUAAAACAUGCAUUAUGCUCCCAACAGGCUAAAUCUCUUCUGGGAUCCACUGAAUGCCACUAGAGGGUCUGCUCGAGAGAAUUCCUGAUUGAAUGACAACGGCGCUAAGAACAAAAUCAAAGUUCUCCUCUGGACUCUUCCAAAACAUUUAGACAUUUACUGGCUUCCAAAAGAAGGAACUCAUGGUGAUAUUGACCAUUUUUAAAGAAAAUAAAAGCAUGAAGCCGAGCAUGGUAGUACACACUUGGAAUCCCACAUAUUUGGAAGACUGAGGCUAGAAGAUUGCUUGAGGCCAGAAGUUCGAGACCAGCCUGAGCAACAUGGCAAGACCCCAUCUUUAAAAAAAAAAAA
Molecule: long non-coding RNA, 382 nt
Filed under: Homo sapiens (human)
Lineage: Eukaryota; Metazoa; Chordata; Mammalia; Primates; Hominidae
Description: non-protein coding lnc-MYOM1-2:9
Source: RNAcentral